UAAGAGCUCGUAGGCGGUUUGUCGCGUCUGCUGUGAAAGACCGGGGCUCAACUCCGGUUCUGCAGUGGGUACGGGCAGACUAGAGUGCAGUAGGGGAGACUGGAAUUCCUGGUGUAGCGGUGAAAUGCGCAGAUAUCAGGAGGAACACCGAUGGCGAAGGCAGGUCUCUGGGCUGUAACUGACGCUGAGGAGCGAAAGCAUGGGGAGCGAACAGGAUUAGAUACCCUGGUAGUCCAUGCCGUAAACGUUGGGCACUAGGUGUGGGGGACAUUCCACGUUUUCCGCGCCGUAGCUAACGCAUUAAGUGCCCCGCCUGGGGAGUACGGCCGCAAGGCUAAAACUCAAAGGAAUUGACGGGGGCCCGCACAAGCGGCGGAGCAUGCGGAUUAAUUCGAUGCAACGCGAAGAACCUUACCAAGGCUUGACAUGAACCGGUAAUACCUGGAAACAGGUGCCCCGCUUGCGGUCGGUUUACAGGUGGUGCAUGGUUGUCGUCAGCUCGUGUCGUGAGAUGUUGGGUUAAGUCCCGCAACGAGCGCAACCCUCGUUCUAUGUUGCCAGCGCGUUAUGGCGGGGACUCAUAGGAGACUGCCGGGGUCAACUCGGAGGAAGGUGGGGACGACGUCAAAUCAUCAUGCCCCUUAUGUCUUGGGCUUCACGCAUGCUACAAUGGCCGGUACAAAGGGUUGCGAUACUGUGAGGUGGAGCUAAUCCCAAAAAGCCGGUCUCAGUUCGGAUUGGGGUCUGCAACUCGACCCCAUGAAGUCGGAGUCGCUAGUAAUCGCAGAUCAGCAACGCUGCGGUGAAUACGUUCCCGGGGCCUUGUACACACCGCCCGUCAAGUCACGAAGUUGGUAACACCCGAAGCCGGUGGCCUAACCCUUGUGGGGGAGCCGUCGAAGUGGGACCGGCGAUUGGACUAAGUCGUACAAGGUAGCCCA
RNAcentral lists this ribosomal RNA (941 nucleotides) under Arthrobacter sp. RNAcentral describes it as "bacterial SSU rRNA". It matches the Rfam family "Bacterial small subunit ribosomal RNA", at positions 562 to 1503 of the family's 1533-position model. The record is from RNAcentral. Lineage: Bacteria; Bacillati; Actinomycetota; Actinomycetes; Micrococcales; Micrococcaceae.